AGGACGAACGCUGGCGGCACGCCUAACACAUGCAAGUCGAACGGAGAUAUUUGGUUUACUGAGGUAUCUUAGUGGCGGACGGGUGAGUAACACGUGAGCAACCUGCCUUUGAGAGAGGGAUAGCUUCUGGAAACGGAUGGUAAUACCUCAUAACAUAAUUGGAAGGCAUCUUCUGAUUAUCAAAGAUUUAUCACUCAAAGAUGGGCUCGCGUCUGAUUAGAUAGUUGGUGAGGUAACGGCUCACCAAGUCGACGAUCAGUAGCCGGACUGAGAGGUUGAACGGCCACAUUGGGACUGAGACACGGCCCAGACUCCUACGGGAGGCAGCAGUGGGGAAUAUUGCACAAUGGGGGAAACCCUGAUGCAGCGAUGCCGCGUGGAGGAAGAAGGUUUUCGGAUUGUAAACUCCUGUCUUAAAGGACGAUAAUGACGGUACUUUAGGAGGAAGCUCCGGCUAACUACGUGCCAGCCGCCGC
Molecule: ribosomal RNA, 476 nt
Filed under: uncultured bacterium
Lineage: Bacteria
Description: bacterial SSU rRNA
Rfam family: Bacterial small subunit ribosomal RNA
Source: RNAcentral